Molecule: ribosomal RNA, 427 nt
Filed under: uncultured bacterium
Lineage: Bacteria
Description: partial 16S ribosomal RNA
Rfam family: Bacterial small subunit ribosomal RNA
Source: RNAcentral
UGGGGAAUAUUGGACAAUGGGCGAAAGCCUGAUCCAGCCAUGCCGCGUGUGUGAAGAAGGUCUUCGGAUUGUAAAGCACUUUAAGUUGGGAGGAAGGGCAUUAACCUAAUACGUUAGUGUUUUGACGUUACCGACAGAAUAAGCACCGGCUAACUCUGUGCCAGCAGCCGCGGUAAUACAGAGGGUGCAAGCGUUAAUCGGAAUUACUGGGCGUAAAGCGCGCGUAGGUGGUUUGUUAAGUUGGAUGUGAAAUCCCCGGGCUCAACCUGGGAACUGCAUUCAAAACUAACUGACUAGAGUAUGGUAGAGGGUGGUGGAAUUUCCUGUGUAGCGGUGAAAUGCGUAGAUAUAGGAAGGAACACCAGUGGCGAAGGCGACCACCUGGACUAAUACUGACACUGAGGUGCGAAAGCGUGGGGAGCAAACA